This 300-nucleotide ribosomal RNA is filed under the name Triticum aestivum (bread wheat). Its description in RNAcentral is "partial small subunit ribosomal RNA". Lineage: Eukaryota; Viridiplantae; Streptophyta; Magnoliopsida; Poales; Poaceae. The record is from RNAcentral.
AUGGCUCCUACCGAGGCUGAGGCUGAUGUAGAGGAGGGAGAAGAGAAGAAGAAGAGGGAAAGGAAAGCAGCCGGAGCUGCUUUCACGUGGAUUCAAAAUAACUUUGCGACGUGCCCUCCGGAUACCACUGAUGAUGUGAUCCAGACACAUGCUCGUGUGUAUAUGUGGUACGUUGUGUCGAGGACUUCGUUUCCUGACUCCACUGGCAAGAACGCUCCAUGGAUGUGGCUGAAGGCGUUGACCGUCUUCGAUAGCAAAUGGAGCUGGGGUUCAGCGACUCUUGCCUACUUGUACCGAUAG